UGUUGCUUAGCGUUGGGAGCCUACAGCCUGCUGUAGCUCCUUAAAGGUAGUGGCGGAGUCGGUUCACACUCUAGACGUAGUAAAAUCUUUAUCUCGCCUAUGGAUGAGCCGGCGCCUUGCCGUAAAACCCCUAAUCUUUCACAAGGUUGACCUCGGAUCAGGUAGGAAUACCCGCUGAACUUAAGCAUAUCAAUAAGCGGAGGAAAAGAAACCAACAGGGAUUGCCCUAGUAACGGCGAGUGAAGCGGCAACAGCUCAAAUUUGAAAUCUGGCCUUCGGGUCCGAGUUGUAAUUUGCAGAGGAUGCUUUGGGCGCGGUGCCUUCCGAGUUCCCUGGAACGGGACGCCUUAGAGGGUGAGAGCCCCGUACGGUUGGACACCAAGCCUCUGUAAAGCUCCUUCGACGAGUCGAGUAGUUUGGGAAUGCUGCUCUAAAUGGGAGGUAAAUUUCUUCUAAAGCUAAAUAUUGGCCAGAGACCGAUAGCGCACAAGUAGAGUGAUCGAAAGAUGAAAAGCACUUUGAAAAGAGGGUUAAAUAGCACGUGAAAUUGUUGAAAGGGAAGCGUUUGCGACCAGACCUUUUCCCAGCGGAUCAUCCGGUGUUCUCACCGGUGCACUUCGCUGGGUUGAGGCCAGCAUCGGUUUCCGCAGGGGGAUAAAAGCCUGGGGAACGUAGCUCCCUCGGGAGUGUUAUAGCCCCUCGCAUAAUACCCUUGCGGGGACCGAGGACCGCG
Molecule: ribosomal RNA, 733 nt
Filed under: Xylaria sp. genotype 330
Lineage: Eukaryota; Fungi; Ascomycota; Sordariomycetes; Xylariales; Xylariaceae
Description: eukaryotic LSU rRNA
Rfam family: Eukaryotic large subunit ribosomal RNA (bases 148-733)
Source: RNAcentral